CUGUGUGGCGGCCCUUGAAGCCGUGCUGACUGCCGAAAGCACUGUGCGUCCGUAACAAAUUCUAUUCCGGCAUUAUCUAAACUUUCACUUCGAAUUACCUCCUGCAUCGAUUAUGGAAACCGCUGAGCAACUUCGCACCGAGGACCACGCAAAAGAUCUAUUUGAAAUAAAAGGAACGCAUCACGUUGAGUUAUACGUUGGCAAUGCAAAGCAGGCCGCGUAUUUCUAUCGGCGUGCGUUUGGUUUUCACUUGACGGGCUACAGCGGACCUGAGACGGGUGUUCGCGACAGAGCAUCAUACCUAGUGGAGCAAGGGAAGAUUCGUUUCGUUCUGACAACACCAAUGAAUCCCGAUUCGCCAAUUGCUGA
RNAcentral lists this unclassified non-coding RNA (369 nucleotides) under uncultured fungus. RNAcentral describes it as "sequence contains ITS1". The record is from RNAcentral. Lineage: Eukaryota; Fungi.